ACGAACGCUGGCGGCGUGCUUAACACAUGCAAGUCGAACGGUAAGGCUCCAGCUUGCUGGGGUACACGAGUGGCGAACGGGUGAGUAACACGUGGGUGACCUGCCCUGCACUUCGGGAUAAGCCUGGGAAACUGGGUCUAAUACCGGAUAGGACCGCACCGUGAGGGUGUGGUGGAAAGUUUUUUCGGUGUGGGAUGGGCCCGCGGCCUAUCAGCUUGUUGGUGGGGUAAUGGCCUACCAAGGCGGCGACGGGUAGCCGGCCUGAGAGGGUGGACGGCCAAUUGGGGACGGAAACACGCCCCGGCCUCCGAGGGGGGGCAGAGGGGGGGAAUGUUGCACAGGGGGGGGACGCCUAGGCAGGGGACGCCGCGGGGGGGGUGAGGGCCUGGGGUUUGAAAACCCCUUCCCCCACGGAAGAGGGGUUGCGGGCGGAGGAGGGAAAAGAGGCCCCGGCAAACUACGUC
RNAcentral lists this ribosomal RNA (464 nucleotides) under uncultured bacterium. RNAcentral's name for it is "partial 16S ribosomal RNA". It matches the Rfam family "Bacterial small subunit ribosomal RNA", at positions 29 to 507 of the family's 1533-position model. The record is from RNAcentral.